CGACCUUAUACAUGCAGUCGAGCGAACGGACGAGAAGCUUGCUUCUCUGAUGUUAGCGGCGGACGGGUGAGUAACACGUGGAUAACCUACCUAUAAGACUGGGAUAACUUCGGGAAGAGCUAAUACCGGAUAAUAUUUUGAACCGCAUGGUUCAAAAGUGAAAGACGGUCUUGCUGUCACUUAUAGAUGGAUCCGACCGCGCUGCAUUAGCUAGUUGGUAAGGUAACGGCUUACCAAGGCAACGAUGCAUAGCCGACCUGAGAGGGUGAUCGGCCACACUGGAACUGAGACACGGUCCAGACUCCUACGGGAGGCAGCAGUAGGGAAUCUUCCGCAAUGGGCGAAAGCCUGACACGCCGCGUGAGUGAUGAAGGUCUUCGGAUCGUAAAACUCUGUUAUUAGGGAAGAACAUAUGUGUAAGUAACUGUGCACAUCUUGACGGUACCUAAUCAGAAAGCCACGGCUAACUACGUGCCAGCAGCCGCGGUAAUACGUAGGUGGCAAGCGUUGGAGCAAUCCGGAAUUAUUGGGCGUAAAGCGCGCGUAGGCGGUUUUUUAAGUCUGAUGUGAAAGCCCACGGCUCAACCGUGGAGGGUCAUUGGAAACUGGAAAACUUGAGUGCAGAAGAGGAAAGUGGAAUUCCAUGUGUAGCGGUGAAAUGCGCAGAGAUAUGGAGGAACACCAGUGGCGAAGGCGACUUUCUGGUCUGUAACUGACGCUGAUGUGCGAAAGCGUGGGGAUCAAACAGGAUUAGAUCUGGUAGUCCACGCCGUAAACGAUGAGUGCUAAGUGUUAGGGGUUUCCGCCCCUUAGUGCUGCAGCUAACGCAUUAAACCGCACUCCGCCUGGGGAGUACGACCGCAAGGUUGAAACUCAAAGGAAUUGACGGGGACCCGCACAAGCGGUGAGCAGUUUAAUUCGAAGCAACGCGAGACCUUACCAAUCUGACAUCCUUUGACACUCUAGAGAUAGAGCUCCCUCGGAGGACAAGUGACAGGUGUGCAUGUGUCGUCAGCUCGUGUCGUGAGAUGUUGGUAGUCCCGCCACGAGCGCAAUCCUAGCUAGUGGUGUGCCAUUCAUUAAGGUGGCACUCUAGUUGACUGCCGGUGACAACCGAAGAAGUGGAAUAGCUUCAUACUACUAUGACCCUAUGGAUUGGCCUACACACACCGUGGCGUCUA
This 1181-nucleotide ribosomal RNA is filed under the name Staphylococcus aureus. RNAcentral describes it as "bacterial SSU rRNA". It matches the Rfam family "Bacterial small subunit ribosomal RNA", at positions 43 to 1239 of the family's 1533-position model. Lineage: Bacteria; Bacillati; Bacillota; Bacilli; Caryophanales; Staphylococcaceae. The record is from RNAcentral.